GACAGAGGGUGCAAACGUUGUUCGGAAUUACUGGGCGUAAAGCGCGUGUAGGCGGCUAUGCAAGUCGGGCGUGAAAUCCCACGGCUCAACCGUGGAAGUGCACUCGAAACUGCGUAGCUAGAGUCCUGGAGAGGAAGGUGGAAUGCUUGGUGUAGAGGUGAAAUUCGUAGAUAUCGGGAGGAACACCAGCGGCGAAGGCGGCCACCUGGACGGUGACUGACGCUGAGACGCGAAAGCGUGGGGAGCAAACAGG
Molecule: ribosomal RNA, 253 nt
Filed under: uncultured bacterium
Lineage: Bacteria
Description: partial 16S ribosomal RNA
Rfam family: Bacterial small subunit ribosomal RNA
Source: RNAcentral